UGAUAAUAUAUAUCAAUAAAAAAAGUUUGAUAUUUAAAAACUCCCACACAGUAAUGAACAGAGCAAAAUUUAUGACCUAUUCUACCCCAAGACACGCCUACUAGGGACACCUGAUGGGUAAGAAGAGCAUAGACGAGACGCUGGGCUCGGACGACCAUGAUGUCGAAGCUCAGGCUUAUUUAAUCACAGCCGAAGCCGACACACACACACAGCCGUCCAACCUGCUGAAGGCUCUCAUCAAGGCUCUUUCUGGACCAAAGAAAGCUACAGAAGACGAGAGGGAAAGACGAGAGCUUUCAAUGGAACUGAGGAGGCCGUGGGAAGAACAGUUGGCAAGAGAAAGGGAGGUCAACCAGGCAGCAAGGUUAUUGUUACUGGCGUUAAACAAGAGAGACGCAGACGCCAGCUGAAGACCAGUGUCAGGCCUGAUCUAUAAUCAGCGAUUCUGCAGUUGGAAGCAGCUGAGAAAUGGCCGCGCUGCGUCACAGUCGACUCUGUUAGAAAAUAAACACCUAAAUCUCACUGUCUGUUCAUUCUGCACCACAUCAGCUCAGAAAUAACUUCUAUUUUGUUUUUUUGUAAGUUAAUCUAAUUAUAUGCCAUUGUUUUAUAGGCCUACGUAUAUAAUUAUGUUCUUCUGAACUGUUUGUGUAACUGAUGUUUUGUCAAAUGUCUUCAAUAAAGUCCUGAAAUAAACCUUGUGGGAUUUAAAUACACCAAUUUGCGCAUAAAUCGAGCGGUAUUAUACUCAUUAUUAAACACUUAUUAAAGACUGAACACGUUUUAGAAUGUAGGAUCUCAGUAUUAGAGAUUUUUCUGAUUAUUUCAAAAACCCAAAACAGAUGCACGAGGGAUUAAAGGAGUCACAGUAAAUAUAUAC
This is a long non-coding RNA of Ictalurus punctatus (channel catfish), 880 nucleotides long. NCBI's taxonomy places the organism in Eukaryota, Metazoa, Chordata, Actinopteri, Siluriformes, Ictaluridae. The record is from Ensembl.